CUGUUUUCUACCCCUUUCGUUUGGACAUUCACAUCUUCAUUCUUUUAGGAGGCUCACCUGAGUUUUAAUCAGUAAUGCUCGGGUUUGAAAGGCCUGAGAUGAUGGGUUUGAUAGAUCAGAGGUAAAUGUCUCUCCUCUGGACCGGAACACCACAGGCAACCUAAUGAUUGCAACAGCGGUAGUUGCAGUUGUUGUGGCUGUGAUGAUGGCAGUAGUGAUGACAGGAGUAGCUAUUGUAGUUGUGGUGGCAUUUGAUGCACUAGUGACGGUUGUAGUGGGUGCAGCUGUACCAGUAGUUGUUGAUGCACCACUCGUUGACGACACACCAGUGAAUAUUGUAGUGCGUUCACCAGUUGUUGUCAACACACCAGUGACGGUCAUAGUGGGUUCACCAGUUGUUUUUGUUGACUCAGUGAUGGAUGUAGUGAGUUCACCAGCUGUAGUUGAUGAAUCAGUUAUGGUUGUAGUGGGUCCACUAGUUGUUGUCGACCCACGAGUGACUGUUGUAGUGGGUUCACCAGUUGUUGUCAACACACCAAUAACAGUUGAAGUAAGUUCACCAGUUGUUAUUGAUGCUCCAAUGACAGUUGUAGUGGGUGCAGCUGUAACUGUUGAUGUCAAUCUACCAGUGAUGUUUGUAGUGGGUGAAACUGUAACCGUUAUUGUUGACACACCAGUCAUGGUUGUAGUGGGUUCACCAGUUGUUUUCGAUUCAGCACUGACCAUUGUUGUGUUUUCACUAGUAGUUGUUGAUGCAUCAAUGUCGAUUGUAGUGGGUUCCCCAGUUGUGGUCGACGCAGCAGGGACUCUUGUAGUGUGUUCACCAGUUGUUGUCGAUGAUCCACUUAAUGUUAUAGUGCGUUGCCUAGUUUCUUUUGAUGACUCAGUGAUGGAUGUAUUUGGUUCCCCAGUUGUUGUUGAUGAAUCAGUGAUGGUUGCAGUGGGUUCACUAGUUACUAUCGAUGCAUCAACGAUGGUUGGAGUGAGUUCACCUGUUAUUGUUGAUGAAUCAAUGACUGUUGCAGCUGCAUCCGUUGUUAUCGACAACACCAGUGAUGGUUGUAGCAGUUUCACUGGUAGUUGUUGUAUUGGGUUCACCAGUUGUUGAUGAAUCAGUAAUGGUUGUAGUGGGUUCACUAGUUGUUUUUGUUGAAUCAUUGAUGGUUGUAUUGGGUUCACCAGUUUCUGUCGAUGCAUCAUUGUCGGUUGCAGUGUUUUCAUCAGUUGUUCUGGAUGAACCAGUGAUGGUGGUAGUGGGUUCAUCAGUUGUUGUUGAUGACCCAAAAACGAUUUUAAUGGGUUCACCAAUUGUUGUCGUUGACUCAGUGGAGGUUUUAGAUGGUUCUCCAGUUGUUUUUGUUGAUGUAGUGGUGGUUUUAGUUGGUUCAGCAGUUGUUUUUGUUGAUUUAGUGGUGGUUUUAGUUGGUUCACCAGUUGUUUUUGUUGAUGUAGUGGUGGUUUUAGUUGGUUCAGCAGUUGUUUUUGUUGAUUUAGUGGUGGUUUUAGUUGGUUCAGCAGUUGUUUUUGUUGAUUUAGUGGUGGUUUUAGUUGGUUCACCAGUUGUUUUUGUUGAUUUAGUGGUGGUUUUAGUUGGUUCACCAGUUGAUUUUGUUGAUUUAGUGGUGGUUUUAGUUGGUUCACCAGUUGUUGGUGGUGAAUUAGUGACGGUUGUAGCGGUUCACCAGUUGUUGUCGAUGCGUCAAUGAAUGUUGUAUUUGGUUCACCAGUUGUUUUUGAUGACUCAGUGAUGGUUGUAGUGGGUUCACCAGUUGUAGUCGAUGCAUCAGUUACGGUUGUAGUGGGUUCACCAGUUGUAGUCGAUGCAUCAGUUACGGUUGUAGUGGGUUCACCAGUUGUAGUCGAUGCAUCAGUUACGGUUGUAGUGGGUUCAUCAGUUUUUGUCGAUGCAUCAGUGAUUGUUGUACUGGUUGCGGAUGUAGGAUUCAUAGUAAUGACCACUAC
Molecule: long non-coding RNA, 1962 nt
Filed under: Salmo salar (Atlantic salmon)
Lineage: Eukaryota; Metazoa; Chordata; Actinopteri; Salmoniformes; Salmonidae
Description: lncRNA (ENSSSAG00000114432.1)
Source: RNAcentral